CACUCCACUCCAUCCAUCUAGCGCCAGUCGCCACCGCUGCACCUCGCACCGGCCAUCCCCCACCCCCUACCUCGCACCGGUCGCCCCGCCCUGUCUCGCGCCGGUCACCGCCGCCAUACCUCGCCCCAGCCAUCGUCCACCCCUUUCUCACGCCGGCCGCUCUGUCUCGUCUCAUGCUAGCUGCCCCCGCCCCAUCUCGCGAUGCGCCGCCCCCACCUUCUGUCGCGGCCGCCAUGCCCACCUCCUGUCGCGGCCGCCGCCCCCACCUCCCGCCGCGGCCAUCGCCCAGCAAGCUAACCAGCCGACCAACUACGGAUAUCAAGCAUGACACCGGCCCGGAUCCACCGCACACCAACGACCCCUUCCCAACGAGUUCCAGCGCCGACCAUCCCGGCGCUACUCGUGAUCCCCUCCUCCAUCAGCUCCACUUCGCCGCAGCCGUCAGUCCGAAGGAGUAAGGGGUAGCAUGUCCACUUCCUCUACUCGUCGGCGCCCAGGUGGUUGCUGUACUCUUCGAGCUUCUUUGCCAUCAGUGGCCGCUCCGCCCACCAGCCAGAGUGGGGAGUCCGAUCAUUUGCUGCUCAAAAUCCGAUAACAAUCCGACAACAAUCGAAGGAGGAAUGCGCAACAAGCAAGUCUAUCAUCGACGGCAAGCAAUGGCAUGCUCCCAGCCCGCCGAGACUGAAUCAUUCGACACCAGUUCUCUGCACAACGUGGCUCGACGUGCAGCCCACUGACUCCACCGUAUACAUCCAGACAAUACGGUAUGGUGUACUCCCUCCAUCCGGAAAAGCUUGUUCCUCAAAUAAAUGUAUCUAGCAUCAAGUUAGUGCUAGAUACAUCCAUUUGAGGAAUAAGCUUGAGACAAGUUUUCUAGGACGGAAGGAGUACAAUUUAAUGCAUGAAGUAAGCCCAUCAAUUCGGUUUCAUUUUCUGAAUUUCUUUUGAACUUGUUGUCACUUAACUUUUACAUGUAUCUAGUUACGGUAGUACUUACGAGAUCAAGCUACUUCAUUUUUUAAUCGAAUUCUAGAACUUUUACAUAUCCGUAUUGCUGCCGCUCCAUACUUGUAUUUGAUAUUUCUUAUUAUGUGUGCACUAAACUUCUAAUACUAUUCACGAUCCAGCUUCUAGCUUUUUCUCUAUUAUGUGCUUCACUUCUACAAAAAGGGUUGGGUUAGAUAAAUAGGACAAAGAUGUUUGCUUUCUUUCCAGAAAUGAAAUGGUUGGACAUGUAGACGAUGUAAAUAAAGCUCUUCUCUUGUGUUGUUUGAAAAUAAAAUCGCACAAGUACGUGGUGGAAGUUUGUAUCAGUUUGGAGAAAAAAGAAACAAAGUUCAAAAAGAAAAAUCGUGAGUUCACCUUACAUAAAGUUUGUAAGUACAGAGAUAUCACCUUGAUGUAGUAUGUAAAUAUGUAUUGCAAAUUUGCAAUUCAAGAAUGGGUGUGUGUGUGUUGUAGUAUUUGCCUACAGAGUCGAUGUGUGUUUUUGUAGUGCUGGUAGUUGUAGUCUCCCGCGCUCUCAGCCGAUGUCAAGGCCGCAUGUGUGCCGUCCUCAGUCCAACCCCAUGGCAUCAGGGUGGUCGAGUUCAUCGCGACUAGCAGUCCAUGGCUGUCAGCUUCAACUUUAUUCCACCUAGGUGCUUAAACUUCUUUUUGGAUGUUUUUUGUAUGAAUAUGCAUUUUGGUUAUUAAAUUCAGUACAACGAAACACAUGAAUCCCCAAUGCGUACAAAAUUACUGAUUCUUUUAAACAGUUAGUAGAUUUCUCCAUUGGUUGGUCUACUUGUGUAAAUCUGUCAGUUCAUGACAAGUAACUUCUGAUGCUAGAAAUGUAGGAUGUUUGUGUGAAUGUUGCUUGUUUCAGAGAGAAAAAGAGUUUGUAGUUCCAUCACAUGAUGUACUGAACAACAUAAGCAUGGUGUACUGAACAACAUAAACAUGGUGUACUGAAUAAACAUACGCAUUCACAUAAACAUGCCAGCAACUCCUCUUGCUAUACUCGUUCUUGUACUUGUUUAUGUUCUUGUUUGGAACUGGUUUCUUAUCCUCCUAACAGCUUUUCUCGCAUUUCAGCUAAAUUUAGUUUCAACUAAAACCAGAGCUAAUGCAUUUGUGGCAUUGGAUGAGGUUGCUAGGAAGAUUUUCAUUAGAGAAUGCUUUGCUAGAAAAGCUUCUAUUGAUCUCUGUCCACGAGUGAUGCUGCCCCGCGUCCGGUCGACGACAUCCACGAGCGCUAGCGGCCUGUAUCCGGCAGCAAGAUGAAGGCGUACCCGUACCCGUACCCGUGCAAAAAAAUGACUCAAAUAUAGGAAACGAGAUCUCAAAUGCCCCAGAAAAUCAAACCAUAGGGUACAAUGGUGAUUUCUUACCGUGGAAAGAAAAUUCGUGGUGAAACGAUGAACUCAUAUUUUCAUUCAAACGAUAAUAUGUUAUUAGUUCAUAUAAAUGUUUUCAAAUAGCACACGGUUCACUCACAAAGCCGUGUGCCUACCAAACAGUGGCCGAUGCCCCCUGCUGCGUGCGCGAUCUGAGUCGUGCAUUCUGAUUGGCCAGAAUCCAAACCCAGGGAUCAUACGUCUACACUGUUGGAUGCUCCCACAUCGGACGACAAUCCUCAUCCCUUUCAUCCGCACAUACAGUUCCGGUUAGGAUUUGAUUUAUAUGCCAAAAUGCAUGGUAAAUGCCAAAUAUGGCUUAAAUAUAGCACAUGAGAUCUGAAAUACCCCAGCAAAUCAAACCUGUGGUAUAAUGGUGAUUGCUUAUCGUGGGAAAAAAUUAGAGGCGAAACAAUGAACUCACGUCUUCAUUUCAAAAUUAGUGUGUCUUCAUUUCAAAUGAAAUUAUGUUGUUUGUGCACACGAGCGCUUAGAGACAACCGUUUGCAUAGGCCUUUCUGCAUGGUGACCGGGGAUACUUUUCACCCUUUUCACCUAGGCCGCCAACACCCCCAACGCCCGUCUGUGUUUCACUCAAUUAGUCCAUCCAAUCUCCAUCGUCAGCUACCCUCCCCCAGAUCCAUAGCAGAACCCUUUUUGGCGCCGACGUGCUCAACCUGGCCGUGUGCCCGCUCUUGGGCGUCAACCCUACCUCCACUGUUGUUCCCAACAUGCGGCUGCCCGCGCCUCGCCGUCUUCGUUUGCUCGCUAGCCACCCUCGAGCAUAUCGAUCUUGUAACCCUUGCCUCUCAUGUGGUCCUGCCGGGUUUGCAUUAAGAAAUCUGUUAGUUACUGCUCUCCAUCGUAGUGAGGCAUACUUCCUCGCAAUCCCUCUUCCUAUUUCGUUUCGUAUGUUCACAAAUUGGCUAUAAAAUAACGAAGAGUCUAUAUAUGUUCAUUAUCUACCUUCCUAACUAGUACAUAUAAGUUGUAUUUGUUCCAAUAAGUUAUUGUUGAUUCACAGACCAUGGGCGCCCGAGUCACACAAACUUAACAAAUUAGCCGUACAUUUUCUAAAUUAUUGCAUGACAUGUGUUAGACAACUUGAUACCAAGUUGUUAGCUUUAUGCUUAUCCUCCUUUCCUGAGUUUCGCAUGUGUUCUCUGUAGAUGCCGAGUAGCAGCGACAUCAUUCAUGCUUCAGGCGAUGUAUCUUCAUCUGAUUCCGACAACCCUAGGUCUUCAGCAGAUGAUGAAGGAUCAAGUAAUCUGGAAUUGGAUAGAGCUGCAGAAAUUACCCUUCCGUUCAGGACACGGAGGAACGCUCCAAGAAAACCCACACACCAGCCUAAAGGUAUAUAUGAAGUAACCGGCAUCGAUUUAAAGUCUUGGGCUCCAACUACCAUUGUUGGCAGGGCAAGACUCAACAUGCAGGGGUUUCGGAAGGCUGACACAAAAACACGACAAAGGAUAGUCCGGGAGAUCAUGAAUCACUUCAAACGUUCCAAAGCAGUGGAGAAGGCAGGUGGAACACGUUGCACUGAAUAAGGCUAGGGAUGCUUGGAGAAACUGGAAGCACGUGUUAUACAAGAAGUACUUGAGUGAAGGCAAGGACCCAAUCCCCGCAUACCCCCAAAUUACAAAGGUAGACUGGACAAAAUUCAAAAGGGUUAGUGCAACUACAGAGUUUGCUAAGAAGAGUGCCAAGCAAUUGGAACUUCAGAAGAGGAACACACACACACACCGUAUGGGUGGUGGCAGGAUACUACAUCAUGAAACCGAUAUGGGACCAGGAGGACAAUGAAGUAGUAGUUGCGGGAAAUCGGCCUUUAGUGAAAUCAGGGGCAAACGUGCUAGAGACUACUUGCGGGCACAUGCAAGGAGGAGUGAUGAUGGAACUUAUUACUUUGAAAACUCAGAUGACGAGAAACUACAUCAUGUAAUGUUAAAGGCUUCCGAGAUCCCUGGAAGGUUCUAUAAGAACUCAAGGCCAUGUGACAUUCUGUCUGACGCUCUGGAAACAAGAGAGCCCCCUGGCCGUGCAAGGGGUAUAGGUGUUAAUGUCCCGCACAAGAGAACUUUCACACUCAGCAAAGAAGAGAGGCUCGGCAUGAAAAAAGCGAGGAGUGAAAUGAAGCAGAAUGAAUUGUAUGAAAGGUUGAGGAAUGACAUGUAUCCGUCUGUUCAAAAGGAAAUUGAGGAGUCAAUGAUGAUGCAGAAGACUCUAACACUGACAAAUAGCCAGUAGAUGGGAGGGGAGGCGGGCAUGGAGGAUGCUGGUUGUUGCGCGGCAUCACCACACAAGAGGAGUUGUGCAUCAGCUGACCCUAGCGACACUGAGACUGCGGCUUCUCAUGAUGACGAUAUAUCUGAUCUAUCUGGAAUGAGAGACAGACUGAAGGGCGUGCUUACACAUUAUGAAGGUAUAUUAAAAUGUGCAACAACCUGGGUUUACCCACCCUUCUUGGAAGAGGGCCUCCAUACCAUUGAAGUCGGGUUGUGUGAAGUACUACGUGACUGAAGUAAAGCCUGGAUUCAAUGAAUUUGCCCUGAAGAAUGUCCUAGGGGACUUUGAUGAGCAUAGGAUCUUGGGAGAAACACUGUUACAUCACAUCCAGUGCCCACGAAAGGAAAUAGACUUCAUGGAUGAGAUCCCUGAAGCCCCGCCAAGAGCAACUAAUGUCGCCCCUCAACCGGUGACACUCUCCUUGCCACAACAGCUCUCGCAUGCUUCCCCCAAGGAACCUAAUACUCGUAAUCCGACGGCUGAUGCAUCAACCUGUGAUCAACCCACCCGACUUUGUGCCGUACAGGCCAUGUCAUCGUCCGCCCUAGAGUAGCCAGUGGCAAGGCCUACAACUGUUGAAGACGCACCACGGGUUCAGAUGCCGGCCGCUGAAGCAGCAAGGGGAGACCUAGCUGCAACACAUGCUCAGCACACCAACCUGGUGGAACGGACUACUAAGUAGUCUGAUGCUUCAGAACCGCCUGCUGAGCAGUCUAUAGGUCCAGAACCGACUGCACAUCAGUGCAUCGGCCCGCAGCCGCGUGAUCAGCAUAUCAAUGCUUCAGCACUGCCUGCUCUGCAAACCAAUGUGUUGGCACGACCUCCUUGGCACACCGACAAGUUGGCACCACUUGCGUAGAAACCCGACAUAGCUUCAACGCAUGGUCAGCAGUCCGAUGCCUCUACUCCUACAGCCCAAAGUCUGUCAUAGCAACACUGCCAGCCUAGUAGUCCGGCAUAGCUAAACCGUCUGCUAAGCAGUUCGUCAAAGCUUUACCGUCUGCUCUGCAGUCUCCCUUUCAGCCAUCCAGACCUUGGACCAUAAGUGCUUCAAGUACCAAGAAGGAAGCGGGCAAAAAGGCUGCAACCGCGAGGAAGCGCGCCCAGAGAGUGAAGAGGAAAGAGAAUGAUUGCCUCUUACUUAAAGCACUCAUCGCCCAGAACCAAAUUAACAACAAGUUGUUCGAAUCGGAAAGUAAUAUUAUGCCUGACGGCAUGAAUGAUGCAGAAAUAGAUUUGGUGCUUGCUAAAAAUAAAGCUAACGUACUUGAAGUACACAAUUACGUCCAUGGCCAGCCAUUUAUUUUUGGUGAAUACUUUGAUGAGUGCAACUCCAGUUGCCGCGAGUUACAUAAAUAUUGCAUGGAUCAAAAGUUAGCAGGUCAUCAUGUUCUGCUAGUCUGCUACAAUAGAGAUCAUUUCUAACACGAUGCUGGUUUGAUCAAUGUGAAUUUCGAGGACUUACAUCUCUUCUUCAACUUCAACGAGCUCGAUGCCACUCAUGUUAGAUGUCUGAUUUUGGGAUUGAACGUGCAAAGAAGAAAAAGAGGGAGUGUGUAUUUCAUAGAUCCUCCAUUAGCAAAUGGUACAGCAUUACAUGGUAAGGAUGAACGGGAGUGGGCCAUUAACACGGUCGCCCGUAUCUUCGAAAACACGUCCCAUGCAAAAUCAUUUAUGUGGCCAUAUCAUGAACGGUAAGUCAAAUAAAUAACCACGCAUACACUGACUGUCUUUCAGAUUUCGACAUAAUUCGUAAGUUCAUGGCUUUCUUAAUAUAUAGCAAUCACUGGAUCUUGGUAUUCAUUGUUCUAAACAAGAACACACUUUACUACAUGGAUUCUCUCAGAGUGUCAACAAACGCUCAGGAUCUGACACAUCUUCAGCAAUUCAUUGAUAGAUAUUGAAUUCUAUGAUGUUGAAAUUAAUUUGCAUUCAUAUCUGGUUCAAUAAUUGAUGUUGUCAAAAUCCAUCUUCAUUUAUAGUGUGAUCGCAUUGUGGAAAACUAAAUCAGGAACCUGUUCAAGAGGGAACUACUCUGCAUCACGAGAUCAUUUCUCUGUGUCCUCAGCAACAAGCAGGGACCAACCUUUGUGUAUGUUUGUAGACACAUGAUCUUCAUCUGCAAAUAUGCUGAUAGUUAUGAAGAUGCUUGCAAAUUAGUACCACUCAUCUUAGAGGACCCCUGAACCGCUCCCCGCUGGUGAAUUGCUGAUGGUUCGAAGAUUUAUCAGUGACUUCUUCCUGAAUCACUACAUCAAUCCCAC
Molecule: long non-coding RNA, 6928 nt
Organism: Triticum aestivum (bread wheat)
Lineage: Eukaryota; Viridiplantae; Streptophyta; Magnoliopsida; Poales; Poaceae
Exons: 6
Source: RefSeq, a predicted model, not a curated record